GGUGGCAGCAGUCGAGAAUCAUUCGCAAUGGGGGAAACCCUGACGAUGCUACGCCGCGUGGAGGAUGAAGGCCUUAGGGUUGUAAACUCCUGUCAAGAGGGAAUAAGCAAGUGAAGGUACCUCUAGAGGAAGGGGCGGCUAAUUCCGUGCCAGCAGCCGUGGUAACACGGAAGCCCCGAGCGUUGUUCGGAUUCAUUGGGCGUAAAGGGUGCGUAGGCGGCGCGGAAAGUCCGGCGUGAAAGGCAGUGGCUCAACCUCUGGACUGCGUUGGAUACUUCCGUGCUUGAGGACUGGAGGGGAGACUGGAAUUCACGGUGUAGCAGUGAAAUGCGUAGAUCUCGUGAGGAAGACCAGGGUGUCGAAGGCCGAAGUCUCUGGACAGAUUCCGGACGCUGAGGCACGAAGGCUGGGGGAACGAACAGGACUUAGAUACCCUGGUAGUCACAGCAGUAAACGAUGUGAGCUUGAUAUGGGGGGAUUCGACCCCUUCCGUGUCGAACGCUAACGCGAUAAGCUCACCGCCUGAGGAGUACGGCAGCAAGGCUAAAACUCAAAGAAAUUGACGGGGACCCGCACAAGCGGUGGAGUAUCUGGCUUAAUUCGAUGCAACGCGAAGAACCUUACCUGGCCUUGACAUGCAUUGUGUCGUCGGUGAAAGCCGGCUAGUCCUGGAAACAGGACGCUUUGCACAGGUGCUGCAUGGCUGUCGUCAGCUCGUGUCGUGAGAUGUUGGGUUAAGUCCCGCAACGAGCGCAACCCUUGUGGUCAGUUACUAACCGGCUUAGCCGGAGGACUCUGGCCAGACUGCCCUGUCAAACGGGGAGGAAGCCCGCGGGACGACGUCAAGUCAGUAUGGCCCUUAUGGCCAGGGCUGCACACGUACUACAAUGCACGGUACAAUGUGAACCGAAACCGCGAGGUGGAGGAAAUCGCUCUUGAAAACCGGGCCCAGUUCGGAUUGGAGUCUGCAACUCGACUCCAUGAAGUCGGAAUCGCUAGUAAUGGCGUAUCAG
Molecule: ribosomal RNA, 1013 nt
Filed under: uncultured organism
Description: bacterial SSU rRNA
Rfam family: Bacterial small subunit ribosomal RNA
Source: RNAcentral